RNAcentral lists this ribosomal RNA (569 nucleotides) under Aspergillus flavus. RNAcentral's name for it is "eukaryotic LSU rRNA". The stretch from base 217 to 370 matches the Rfam family "5.8S ribosomal RNA". Lineage: Eukaryota; Fungi; Ascomycota; Eurotiomycetes; Eurotiales; Aspergillaceae. The record is from RNAcentral.
GGUUUCCGUAGGUGAACCUGCGGAAGGAUCAUUACCGAGUGUAGGGUUCCUAGCGAGCCCAACCUCCCACCCGUGUUUACUGUACCUUAGUUGCUUCGGCGGGCCCGCCAUUCAUGGCCGCCGGGGGCUCUCAGCCCCGGGCCCGCGCCCGCCGGAGACACCACGAACUCUGUCUGAUCUAGUGAAGUCUGAGUUGAUUGUAUCGCAAUCAGUUAAAACUUUCAACAAUGGAUCUCUUGGUUCCGGCAUCGAUGAAGAACGCAGCGAAAUGCGAUAACUAGUGUGAAUUGCAGAAUUCCGUGAAUCAUCGAGUCUUUGAACGCACAUUGCGCCCCCUGGUAUUCCGGGGGGCAUGCCUGUCCGAGCGUCAUUGCUGCCCAUCAAGCACGGCUUGUGUGUUGGGUCGUCGUCCCCUCUCCGGGGGGGACGGGCCCCAAAGGCAGCGGCGGCACCGCGUCCGAUCCUCGAGCGUAUGGGGCUUUGUCACCCGCUCUGUAGGCCCGGCCGGCGCUUGCCGAACGCAAAUCAAUCUUUUUCCAGGUUGACCUCGGAUCAGGUAGGGAUACCCG